Molecule: long non-coding RNA, 1646 nt
Filed under: Homo sapiens (human)
Lineage: Eukaryota; Metazoa; Chordata; Mammalia; Primates; Hominidae
Description: HSALNT0352254
Source: RNAcentral
UCCUUUCCUCGAUCUCUCGGCCACCUCCUCCUCCUUCUCCGAUCUUUUUUUUUUCCCUCCUCCCACUGUCUUCUCUACGGUUUAAUCAAAGUUCAGCUACUCCACUUGCCUCUCCUCUCAUUUCUUUCGGAAAGGGGAAACCAGACGACCCAGCGGCCACGGGACGAGUCACCCCAACUCAACCCCAGCAGGACGCUGGAGGGGCCUCCCUUGCCCACCUCUCUUCGCUAGCACUGGCCUCCCGCACCUGGGUCUGCAGUCCCUCCGCCAUCUCACAAGUGUGCAGCCGCUAGGCCUGGGGGAUCCGAAUGACUGGGGCUGGAUAGGAAUGCCUUCGUGUUUCCCAAGACCCCCGGGCCUGCUCCACAAAGUUUGAAGGGUGGGUACACCCCGACCCAGGCAAGUUACUCCCCCAAACCCAUGACUGACUAAUCUGAUAUGACAAAAGCCCAUGAUGGAUUUGGUAUAUGUUAAUUCACAAUGCCCUUUCCUCCAGAAUUUAACUAUAAGUUAAUACACACCGGAAACCAUGCGCAUACACUCUCCUUAAUGGGCUUAGUAAUGUAUUAGUGAGUCCUAACGAUGCAUACAAAUGUGCUCUGCGCUCUGUAGACCCCUCAAGAUUUAUGGGCCUUGAGCUCUCUGAAGCUGUAAACAAGGAGAAAAAAAAAAGAGAAAGCGAAAGCGACUGGGGGGAAGAGACAGAGGCCUGACUCGCCCCUCCAGGUUUUGGAGAGAAGGGAUUCUUUAUGUAUUUUCCUUUCCUUGCAAGCUCGGCUUCUGCUUUGUGUGAUCAGGGAAGGGAUCCCACAUAUGGGAAUGGUUAAUGGAUUUUGGGACUCUCUAGGAGCCCCUGUUUUAAGAAGGAGGCCAAAUGUGCAGGCUCAGGCCAAGCAGCAGAGAUGAAUGAGGUGAUGACCACAGCCUUGAUCCGGCAGGAGCUCAGAGAUGCCCGGGAAGACGGGGGGCCCGAAUGGAAGCAGAAAAACACUUAUGGCCGCUGGGAAGUUGGGAGAGCCAGGCUGGGGCUCCGGCAGGCCCAGGGAAAGUUCCCUUUCUAGGCUCUUUAUUAAAAAAUUUAAAAGGAGGAGUUGAGGCGCCUUGAAUUUUCCUUCGCGAGUUUGGAGACCAGCCGAUUUUUCAUGAAGCAAGCAAGGGCCGCGGUCCCGGAUCCUGCAACAUAUACCUCAUUUUCUCCAGGCCUCUCCACUUGCCCGAGCUCUCAGCCACCAGGAGACAGACGGAAGGGGCUUCUGGGCUGUGUUGGGAGCGGGCAUUGUCCCCUACCCACUCCUGCACAGUUUCCCAAAGUCCAGCGACCUCCGACCCUCCUUGGGGAAAAAAAUACCAGUACCCAGACACCUCUGCACCCUGUUAUAUGACUGGGCUUGCUUCAGGAAUAUCUUACAAAGAAGAAGAAGGAGGAGGAACGGCUUGGAGUCAUGUUUACAUCUAGUUCUACUGAUCCGUUCACAUCUGGAGAGUUUAUUUAUAACUCCCUCUAUAACUCUCUGUUUGGAGGCACUGGUGGCUCUACUGACAGACUGAUGUCUAGGAAAUAUUGCUCUAUGUCUAAUGGUACCUAAAUGUGCUGUGGUUGUAUUUACAGAUUUACGUUUGAGGGAAAUAUAAUUAUUUCCAUUGUA